This is a non-coding RNA of Biomphalaria pfeifferi, 516 nucleotides long. The record is from the annotation of a GenBank genome assembly. Lineage: Eukaryota; Metazoa; Mollusca; Gastropoda; Planorbidae.
UUUUCUUAACAUUUUUAUUUAGUAUAAGUCAGGAACAAAAGGAUUACUUUUAACUCAUUUAUGCAUCUAUACAAUACUACAUUCAUCGAAUUGACCUUUAGCUAUGUUCUUUUUACUUAAGUCGGAAGCCUAUGUAUUCUGAAGAUUGAGUGAAAGUCUGGGCACGAUUUUCUGUUCUGAAUAUAUUGUCCAUGUUCUGAUAUAAUGAUCUGUUUACAAUAUGUGUGUUUAGAUAUUCUUGAACGUUCGAUAUGAUGUUGUGUUCGGAAUAUUGUGUUUAUGUUUCCAUAUGAUGUUGUACUAUGAAAUUGGACGUAAUUUUAUACAUAGUGUUGAAUUAUAUCAAACUUGUUAAUCGGCUUGCUUUCUUGUUUGGAAUUUUUAUAUCCUUUUUAUAAUAAUAAUAAAAAUAAUAAUAAUCUUUAUUAUCCGUAAGUAAAUGUGUUCUACAACUGUUUAAAAAUAAACUACUGUACUACAAAAAAGAAAAAGUGGCAGUUGAUAGAUCUACAGGAG